This is a long non-coding RNA of Amphiprion ocellaris (clown anemonefish), 757 nucleotides long. Lineage: Eukaryota; Metazoa; Chordata; Actinopteri; Pomacentridae. The record is from Ensembl.
CUUAGUUUUAUCCCAGCAAAGAAAUACCUCACUGAAUUGAUAGCUGCUUUAUAUCACAAAAUUACACCUUGAUUUUUAUUUGGAAAGUGUAUCUGCUUUUAUAAUGAAAUAGUCCGAGCUGCCUGCCUCCGAUGUAGCUUGUCAACAAAUUCACCUGUUACGCAGGUGAUUUAAAGUCUGUAAGGACCGUAAUAAUGGUGAAAACAACAGUGUCUAGGACAGUUAGCCACAGCUCAGCUCUCCACGUACAUGACAGAGUAUGAAUUACAGUCACAGCUGCUGGCAAGACAGAAAAUAAGAGCAGUUAUUAAAAUGGAUGCUGCUGCUUCCCAUGUGGUCCGAGGAUGUGGCUGCUGCAGGAGGAGCGCGAACUUCCUUUGGGUGCACAUUCAGCAUCUGUCUAUCUUCUCCUUCUGAGGCCGUUGGUCAAGGGUUGCCACUUAGCCCGGGGGAAGAAAAGCACAUGUGACACUGGAUCCAGUCAGGGCUAAUGGUCAUUACUCGAACCGACGACCCCCUCCAUCCGCCACCUUCAGAGGUUCAGAAACCCACUUCCUGGUACUCUUGUCUCAAGGUGCCUCUAUGCACACACCACACAAACAGGAAACAGCCCUCUUUCAUCUGCCUCAGACUACACGCACUUUAAGUUCUUCUAAAAGGUUGUAGCGAAAAAGGAAAGGUGUACAUGCGCCGUGCUCACCUGGUUUAACUUGAGAAAGCUUUCCCUUAAGUAUGUUUUUCUUCCCCUCUGAUCUUA